RNAcentral lists this ribosomal RNA (387 nucleotides) under uncultured bacterium. RNAcentral describes it as "bacterial SSU rRNA". It matches the Rfam family "Bacterial small subunit ribosomal RNA", at positions 30 to 417 of the family's 1533-position model. The record is from RNAcentral.
AUUGAACGCUGGCGGCAUGCCUUACACAUGCAAGUCGAACGGCAGCACGGACUUCGGUCUGGUGGCGAGUGGCGAACGGGUGAGUAAUGUAUCGGAACGUACCUUUCAGUGGGGGAUAACGUAGCGAAAGUUACGCUAAUACCGCAUAUUCUGUGAGCAGGAAAGCAGGGGAUCGCAAGACCUUGCGCUGAUUGAGCGGCCGAUAUCAGAUUAGCUAGUUGGUGAGGUAAAGGCUCACCAAGGCGACGAUCCGUAGCGGGUCUGAGAGGAUGAUCCGCCACACUGGAACUGAGACACGGUCCAGACUCCUACGGGAGGCAGCAGUGGGGAAUUUUGGACAAUGGGGGCAACCCUGAUCCAGCCAUGCCGCGUGAGUGAAGAAGGCCU